This 451-nucleotide ribosomal RNA is filed under the name uncultured bacterium. RNAcentral describes it as "bacterial SSU rRNA". It matches the Rfam family "Bacterial small subunit ribosomal RNA", at positions 29 to 524 of the family's 1533-position model. The record is from RNAcentral.
AACGAACGCUGGCGGCAGGCUUAACACAUGCAAGUCGAACGGGCACCUUCGGGUGUCAGUGGCAGACGGGUGAGUAACGCGUGGGAACGUACCCUUCGGUUCGGAAUAACCCAGGGAAACUUGGGCUAACACCGGAUACGUCCGCAAGGAGAAAGAUUUAUCGCCGAAGGAUCGGCCCGCGUCGGAUUAGCUAGUUGGUGGGGUAAUGGCCCACCAAGGCGACGAUCCGUAGCUGGUCUGAGAGGAUGANCAGCCACACUGGGACUGAGACACGGCCCAGACUCCUACGGGAGGCAGCAGUGGGGAAUAUUGGACAAUGGGCGAAAGCCUGAUCCAGCCAUGCCGCGUGAGUGAAGAAGGCCUUAGGGUUGUAAAGCUCUUUCAGCGGGGAAGAUAAUGACGGUACCCGCAGAAGAAGUCCGGCUAACUUCGUGCCAGCAGCCGCGGUAAC